AUGUUUUCGAAGCUGGGGGAUUUGUAUACAAUUAGUAUCUUUAUUACCAACACAAUCGUCAUGGUCGUGGUCAUGGCAGCAGUCAUCGAGGUCUUCACAGCGCCACCGCUCUCCUUCUGCGUCUCCACCAAGUUUAAAGACGGCGCGACAGCAGCGAACCUAUCACCGGCAUUUAGGUUUGUCAACUUUCAUGCUGCCAUGAUGACCAACUUCGCCCCGGGUUUCAACUUCUUCAGUUGCGUGAUGGCGGUUGCCUCGCUCUCCCUUGAAAACACCCCGAUGGCCAUGGUCGCCCCUGCCUUGCCCGCCGGCUUGGUCGCCAUCGCAAGCAUCACCUUCCCGUCCAGCCCAUGCUAACCAACCGUCUCCCACGACCCGCUCCACAACUACUCUGCUCCUGCUUCCAUGAAAACGCAAUAUAUUUCAUAUUCACCAAGAAGCAACAGAAGUUAG
RNAcentral lists this ribosomal RNA (453 nucleotides) under Triticum aestivum (bread wheat). Its description in RNAcentral is "partial small subunit ribosomal RNA". Lineage: Eukaryota; Viridiplantae; Streptophyta; Magnoliopsida; Poales; Poaceae. The record is from RNAcentral.